RNAcentral lists this ribosomal RNA (497 nucleotides) under uncultured bacterium. Its description in RNAcentral is "partial 16S ribosomal RNA". It matches the Rfam family "Bacterial small subunit ribosomal RNA", at positions 28 to 507 of the family's 1533-position model. The record is from RNAcentral.
GAUGAACGCUGGCGGCGUGCCUAAUACAUGCAAGUCGAGCGAACGGACGAGAAGCUUGCUUCUCUGAUGUUAGCGGCGGACGGGUGAGUAACACGUGGAUAACCUACCUAUAAGACUGGGAUAACUUCGGGAAACCGUAGCUAAUACCGGAUAAUAUUUUGAACCGCAUGGUUCAAAAGUGAAAGACGGUCUUGCUGUCACUUAUAGAUGGAUCCGCGCUGCAUUAGCUAGUUGGUAAGGUAACGGCUUACCAAGGCAACGAUGCAUAGCCGACCUGAGAGGGUGAUCGGCCACACGGGAACAGAGGCACGGUCCAGACUCCUACGGUAGGCAGCAGUAGAGAAUCUUCCGCAAUGGGCGAAAGCCUGACGGAGCAACGCCGCGUGAGUGAUGAAGGUCUUCGGAUCGUAAAACUCUGUUAUUAGUGAAGAACAAAUGUGUAAGUAACUGUGCACAUCUUGACGGUACCUAAUCAGAAAGCCACGGCUAACUACGUG